RNAcentral lists this non-coding RNA (64 nucleotides) under Clostridium perfringens WAL-14572. Its description in RNAcentral is "RAGATH-18 RNA". It matches the Rfam family "RAGATH-18 RNA". From Rfam's summary of the family: Actinobacteria, Firmicutes, Fusobacteria, Thermotogae (1 example). Lineage: Bacteria; Bacillati; Bacillota; Clostridia; Eubacteriales; Clostridiaceae. The record is from Rfam by way of RNAcentral.
ACUUUGGAGAGCCAUACAAAUCGUAGUAGCUUAUUAGGCAAGGCGAGGCUUUAUGAAGAAGGAA